This 1139-nucleotide long non-coding RNA is filed under the name Portunus trituberculatus (swimming crab). RNAcentral describes it as "uncharacterized LOC123506308, transcript variant X1". Lineage: Eukaryota; Metazoa; Arthropoda; Malacostraca; Decapoda; Portunidae. The record is from RNAcentral.
GGCUGAGGUGGAGCCGAGAGCCGGUUUAGUUGGCAAGCCUCGGCCCCAUAGGGAGGACGUGAGUGUUGACCUGCAUGUUGCUGAAACUGAUUGGAUGCUCAGAUUGGAAAUUCACGCAUGUCCCACAAAGACUGAAAAUUACGCGGUGCCGGGGUGCAGACAGGCGGGUUUAGUGCCAACACGCGGCGCAUCCUCACAUCCCUCACAAAGGCACGCGGCACACUGACUCCCGGGACGUGAUGAGGAGCUGCCAAUACUAAGGCCUGCCUCAUGAGAAAUCCUGACCCACCUGUAGCAUCAAGGUCAAGAUAAUCCUGUGAGGAGUCAUGUGGUACCUUAUGUAGUGUCACCAGGACAGCACUAUGACCCCUUGUCCCUGCAGGCCCUACCACUCUACACGGCCUCAGUCGUCAGGUCAGCACCAGACUGAUCAUCAGUAUCUCAGGCUGCUGCAGCAAUAUGUAUGAACCAUGGAAAAUUUGAUGGUGGUGGCACCUAACAACUUUACAAUACAGCAUGGGGUGGUAUGCUGCACUCCCUCCCUCACCUUGAGUUGAGGGAGGCAAUGGUGCGGAUGAGGAGUUGCUGUGGUGGCAGGUUGUGGGCCAGUAAGUGGUGGUGCUCCUGCCAGCCCUCCCGCACCCAGCCCCCAGCCCCUGCGCCACCCAGUGAUCCCACAGCAACAUUUAGGUCGUCCUCAGAGUCGUCACAGCAGUGGGAUGGUCCUCGGAGGUCCUCUCUCUCCGAUGACCUGAAGUUAGAAAUUUCUGUUUUUAUGUUUCUGUAGUUAGAAAUUUCUGUUUUUAUGUUUGACUUACCUUCAUGCUGCUGCUAUUAUUAUUUAACUUUUUAUAUGGCAAAGUGCCAACUAUUAUACUCCAAUUGUCACUGAAUGAGAACAACAAUAGAGAUACUCCAAUUGUCACUGAAUGAGAACAGUAAAGAGAAAACUAUUGCACUGAAAAGAAUAAAUGCAAGCAGCUUUUGAAGUUAUGCUUCUGCUUAUAGACUUCAACCUGACUUAGCAUUAAAACUAAUUAUAAUUAAUGUACAAGAUAGAAGCUGAAGGGUGCAUCUUUCUUUUAGCAUGUAAAAAGAAAUGUACAAAUAAGAUUUACUAAAUAUACAGAUAAACCUUU